RNAcentral lists this long non-coding RNA (222 nucleotides) under Erythranthe guttata (spotted monkey flower). RNAcentral's name for it is "long non-coding RNA (EGUT_LNC001759)". The record is from RNAcentral. Lineage: Eukaryota; Viridiplantae; Streptophyta; Magnoliopsida; Lamiales; Phrymaceae.
AUUUUGUUUGAUUCUUAUGUUGUUCAUUUUUGUUAUAAAUCAUAUGUCUUUUAUUUUUCGAAUUUAUUUGAAGAUGAUCCAAAAUACCUAGAGUGUGAGAGCUCUGUUUGCCUGUAGUAGAAACUUAAUCAAAACUUAAUCAGUAGCGGUUACAUAAAUAAGUGAUUUGGGUCAGGUGAAUAUACACUCAUAUGUAGUCAUAUACAGUCAUAUAUAUAGUCA